Molecule: ribosomal RNA, 466 nt
Filed under: uncultured bacterium
Lineage: Bacteria
Description: partial 16S ribosomal RNA
Rfam family: Bacterial small subunit ribosomal RNA
Source: RNAcentral
GAUGAACGCUGGCGGCGUGCUUAACACAUGCAAGUCGAACGGUGAAGCCAAGCUUGCUUGGUGGAUCAGUGGCGAACGGGUGAGUAACACGUGAGCAACCUGCCCUGGACUCUGGGAUAAGCGCUGGAAACGGCGUCUAAUACUGGAUAUGAGCCUCUUCCGCAUGGUGGGGGUUGGAAAGAUUUUUUGGUCUGGGAUGGGCUCGCGGCCUAUCAGCUUGUUGGUGAGGUAAUGGCUCACCAAGGCGUCGACGGGUAGCCGGCCUGAGAGGGUGACCGGCCACACUGGGACUGAGACACGGCCCAGACUCCUACGGGAGGCAGCAGUGGGGAAUAUUGCACAAUGGGCGAAAGCCUGAUGCAGCAACGCCGCGUGAGGGAUGACGGCCUUCGGGUUGUAAACCUCUUUUAGCAGGGAAGAAGCGAAAGUGACGGUACCUGCAGAAAAAGCGCCGGCUAACUGCGUG